Pantherophis guttatus is the source of this 291-nucleotide non-coding RNA. NCBI's taxonomy places the organism in Eukaryota, Metazoa, Chordata, Lepidosauria, Squamata, Colubridae. The record is from RefSeq and is a predicted model, not a curated record.
AGUUCAACAGUUCAAAUCUCACCAGGCUCAAGGUUGAGUCAGCCUUCCAUCCUUCUGAGCUGCCAGGUUACUAGUGGCACAGUUUUGGAAGAAGGAAGAUCCACCUACUAUUGAGGAAUGGACACUAAAAGUCGUGCAUUUGGCAGAGAUGGCAAAAAUUUCAUCAUAUCUUAAAGAUCCCUCAAACGAAAGAUACAUAUUGGAAUGGAGAAGAUGGAUCGACUAUAUUCAAAACAAGUAUGAGAUUAAGAAGAUUUAUAUAGUUUAUGAAUGAAACAUUUUCAAUCUCUA